This 359-nucleotide transfer RNA is filed under the name uncultured Microcystis sp. RNAcentral's name for it is "partial 16S-23S ribosomal RNA intergenic spacer". The stretch from base 135 to 208 matches the Rfam family "tRNA". Lineage: Bacteria; Bacillati; Cyanobacteriota; Cyanophyceae; Chroococcales; Microcystaceae. The record is from RNAcentral.
AAGGGAGACCUAAUUCCGGUAGGAGACGAAAAAAAAGUAGUCCCUACCAAGAAUCAAUCCCAAAAGGUCGAAGCGAGGCAAGAUUGGCUUUCAAACUAGGUUCUGGGUUCAAACAAGACCUGAAUCAGGAACAAGGGCUAUUAGCUCAGGUGGUUAGAGCGCACCCCUGAUAAGGGUGAGGUCCCUGGUUCGAGUCCAGGAUGGCCCACCUGCACAGGUGGCGAAAACAAGAGAAACGAGGAAUCAGCACCUUAUCUUACUUACAUAGUAAGAGAGAAUGCUGGCUCUGAGUAAAGAGUCCAGAGGAACCUUGAAAACUGCAUAGAGCUAGGUGAAAAAGCCAAAAAAGAAGACCGCAA